UGGGAGAGACCGGACCGCUCCCUGCAGAGCGGAACGGAGCCGAAGGUGCUAGAGCGAUAAACUCUCAGGCAAAAGGACUGGAU
RNAcentral lists this non-coding RNA (83 nucleotides) under uncultured Eubacterium sp. Its description in RNAcentral is "Glycine riboswitch". It matches the Rfam family "Glycine riboswitch aptamer", at positions 13 to 82 of the family's 94-position model. From Rfam's summary of the family: This family represents the bacterial glycine riboswitch. Glycine riboswitches usually consist of two metabolite-binding aptamers domains with similar structures in tandem. Lineage: Bacteria; Bacillati; Bacillota; Clostridia; Eubacteriales; Eubacteriaceae. The record is from RNAcentral.